This 474-nucleotide ribosomal RNA is filed under the name Gammarus lacustris. Its description in RNAcentral is "partial 16S ribosomal RNA". The record is from RNAcentral. Lineage: Eukaryota; Metazoa; Arthropoda; Malacostraca; Amphipoda; Gammaridae.
AAAGAGUAAGAAAUUUUGGUAAGUUUACCUUUUGUAUCAGGGGAAGUCAAAAGUAAAAUUAGUAAAAUAUCGAUUUAAGUAGAGCUUUGGGUAAAGAAAUUAUAAUUGAAUUUAUAGUUUUAAUGGAGUCAUGUGGUGAAAAAUGUACGGUGCUUAUGGUAACUAUUUGUUUUUUUGUUGAAGGGUAAGCUUUCAUUAGUUUAAGCAUAAAAAAAAAAUUAAAGAAUUAGGCUUUGUAUUAGCCAAAUUAUUAAAUUGUUUUAAAUAAUCUAGUAAAACAAAGUAAGUUUAAAAUUAAAAGACUUAGUCUAUUAGUGGUAGUAGGCUUAAAUAAUGAAUUUAUUGAAUAAAGCUCGGAAUACUUAAAUAACUCAUGAUAGGUUAGAAUGUUUAACAAAAACAUUUUCUUUUGAGGUAAAUAAGAUAAGACCUGCCCGGUGAUUUUUAACGGCUGCGGUAUUUUGACUGUGCUAA